This 209-nucleotide ribosomal RNA is filed under the name uncultured bacterium. Its description in RNAcentral is "partial 16S ribosomal RNA". It matches the Rfam family "Bacterial small subunit ribosomal RNA", at positions 306 to 522 of the family's 1533-position model. The record is from RNAcentral.
CUACUCCCUGUGUCGCUUUCCCCUGUUGCGUGUCUCAGAGUGCCUACGGGAGGCAGCAGUGGGGAAUCUUGCACAAUGGGGGAAACCCUGAUGCAGCGACGCCGCGUGAGCGAUGAAGCCCUUCGGGGUGUAAAGCUCUUUCGUCAGGGAAGAUAGUGACGGUACCUGGAGAAGCAGCUGCGGCUAACUACGUGCCAGCAGCCGCGGUC